Molecule: transfer RNA, 75 nt
Filed under: Methanomassiliicoccaceae archaeon
Lineage: Archaea; Methanobacteriati; Thermoplasmatota; Thermoplasmata; Methanomassiliicoccales; Methanomassiliicoccaceae
Description: tRNA-Arg
Rfam family: tRNA
About the family: Transfer RNA (tRNA) molecules are approximately 80 nucleotides in length.
Source: RNAcentral
GCCCGCGUAGGGUAGCGGAUAUCCUGAGAGAUUGCGGAUCUCUUGACCCGAGUUCGAAUCUCGGCGCGGGCGCCA